Trematomus bernacchii (emerald rockcod) is the source of this 543-nucleotide long non-coding RNA. RefSeq lists it as uncharacterized. The record is from RefSeq and is a predicted model, not a curated record. The transcript is spliced from 3 exons. NCBI's taxonomy places the organism in Eukaryota, Metazoa, Chordata, Actinopteri, Perciformes, Nototheniidae.
CAGGAUCAGAGAUGAUGAGAUGAUCAGAGCCACGAUCCAGAAGACCAGUGACAGGAAGUGAAGACACACAGAAAGUUUAUUCAUCACGGGGCGAGUUUGAGACGUAAAGAGGAGCGUGGAGGCAUUUUGGAAAAUAAAGAAGAAGGCUGCAGCUGAUGAGAGACUUCCUGUUGGCUCUUCUCAAUAUUAAAUGAACAAAAACAAUCAAUUGUACUUAAAGCUUUUCUUAAGAAGAAAUAUGUGUUGCACAUACACCUGCUGCUACCUACCACCACCUCCCACCCAUCCCGGCACCAAAGAGGAGACUCCAUCGACCCCAGAUACCCCAACUCACUCUUCUUCAGGUUAGCUUGGAGCCCCGCCUUUACCUGCCCCAACACCUCACUUUGAACGAUGUAGUCAUCCGGAUAUCUGCAUACUGAGAGUGGGACGCAGGACCCGGUCAAUGAGCUGCUGGAAGGGGGUCCACUGGACUGGAGGGGCGCUUGGAUCUGGUGAUGCCUUGCUCUUUCUGAAAGGGGAGGACACCUAUCUGCUAUAGUU